GAUGAACGCUGGCGGCGUGCCUAAUACAUGCAAGUCGAGCGAACAGACGAGGAGCUUGCUCCUCUGACGUUAGCGGCGGACGGGUGAGUAACACGUGGAUAACCUACCUAUAAGACUGGGAUAACUUCGGGAAACCGGCUCUAAUACCGGAUAAUAUAUUGAACCGCAUGGUUCAAUAGUGAAAGACGGUUUUGCUGUCACUUAUAGAUGGAUCCGCGCCGCAUUAGCUAGUUGGUAAGGUAACGGCUUACCAAGGCAACGAUGCGUAGCCGACCUGACAGGGUGAUCGGCCACACUGGAACUGAGACACGGUCCAGACUCCUACGGGAGGCAGCAGUAGGGAAUCUUCCGCAAUGGGCGAAAGCCUGACGGAGCAACGCCGCGUGAGUGAUGAAGGUCUUCGGAUCGUAAAGCUCUGUUAUUAGGGAAGAACAAAUGUGUAAGUAACUAUGCACGUCUUGACGGUACCUAAUCAGAAAGCCACGGCUAACUACGUG
RNAcentral lists this ribosomal RNA (497 nucleotides) under uncultured bacterium. Its description in RNAcentral is "partial 16S ribosomal RNA". It matches the Rfam family "Bacterial small subunit ribosomal RNA", at positions 28 to 507 of the family's 1533-position model. The record is from RNAcentral.